UAAUAGUUUGUUAUUCUGCUCAGGAUGAACGCUGGCGGCGUGCCUAAUACAUGCAAGUCGAACGCUUUGUGGUUCAACUGAUUUGAAGAGCUUGCUCAGAUAUGACGAUGGACAUUGCAAAGAGUGGCGAACGGGUGAGUAACACGUGGGAAACCUACCUCUUAGCAGGGGAUAACAUUUGGAAACAGAUGCUAAUACCGUAUAACAAUAGCAACCGCAUGGUUGCUACUUAAAAGAUGGUUCUGCUAUCACUAAGAGAUGGUCCCGCGGUGCAUUAGUUAGUUGGUGAGGUAAUGGCUCACCAAGACGAUGAUGCAUAGCCGAGUUGAGAGACUGAUCGGCCACAAUGGGACUGAGACACGGCCCAUACUCCUACGGGAGGCAGCAGUAGGGAAUCUUCCACAAUGGGCGAAAGCCUGAUGGAGCAACGCCGCGUGUGUGAUGAAGGGUUUCGGCUCGUAAAACACUGUUGUAAGAGAAGAAUGACAUUGAGAGUAACUGUUCAAUGUGUGACGGUAUCUUACCAGAAAGGAACGGCUAAAUACGUGCCAGCAGCCGCGGUAAUACGUAUGUUCCAAGCGUUAUCCGGAUUUAUUGGGCGUAAAGCGAGCGCAGACGGUUAUUUAAGUCUGAAGUGAAAGCCCUCAGCUCAACUGAGGAAUUGCUUUGGAAACUGGAUGACUUGAGUGCAGUAGAGGAAAGUGGAACUCCAUGUGUAGCGGUGAAAUGCGUAGAUAUAUGGAAGAACACCAGUGGCGAAGGCGGCUUUCUGGACUGUAACUGACGUUGAGGCUCGAAAGUGUGGGUAGCAAACAGGAUUAGAUACCCUGGUAGUCCACACCGUAAACGAUGAGUGCUAGGUGUUUGAGGGUUUCCGCCCUUAAGUGCCGCAGCUAACGCAUAAGCACUCCGC
RNAcentral lists this ribosomal RNA (913 nucleotides) under Weissella cibaria. Its description in RNAcentral is "bacterial SSU rRNA". It matches the Rfam family "Bacterial small subunit ribosomal RNA", at positions 1 to 872 of the family's 1533-position model. The record is from RNAcentral. Lineage: Bacteria; Bacillati; Bacillota; Bacilli; Lactobacillales; Lactobacillaceae.